UACGGAGGAUGCGAGCGUUAUCCGGAUUUAUUGGGUUUAAAGGGUGCGUAGGCGGAUUUUUAAGUCAGCGGUAAAAUGUCCGGGCUCAACCCGGGCCGGCCGUUGAAACUGGGGAUCUUGAGUGGGCGAGAAGAAGGCGGAAUGCGUGGUGUAGCGGUGAAAUGCAUAGAUAUCACGCAGAACCCCGAUUGCGAAGGCAGCCUUCCGGCGCCCUACUGACGCUGAGGCACGAAAGUGCGGGGAUCGAACAGG
Molecule: ribosomal RNA, 252 nt
Filed under: uncultured Bacteroidales bacterium
Lineage: Bacteria; Pseudomonadati; Bacteroidota; Bacteroidia; Bacteroidales
Description: partial 16S ribosomal RNA
Rfam family: Bacterial small subunit ribosomal RNA
Source: RNAcentral